Molecule: ribosomal RNA, 252 nt
Filed under: uncultured bacterium
Lineage: Bacteria
Description: partial 16S ribosomal RNA
Rfam family: Bacterial small subunit ribosomal RNA
Source: RNAcentral
UACAGAGGGUGCGAGCGUUAAUCGGAAUUACUGGGCGUAAAGCGCGCGCAGGCGGUUAAUUAAGUUGGGUGUUUAAGCCCGGGGCUCAACCCCGGUUCGCAUCCAAAACUGGUUGACUUGAGUGUAGGAGAGGAAAGUGGAAUUCCACGUGUAGCGGUGAAAUGCGUAGAGAUGUGGAGGAACACCAGUGGCGAAGGCGACUUUCUGGCCUAUAACUGACGCUGAGGCGCGAAAGCGUGGGGAGCAAACAGG